Molecule: long non-coding RNA, 1660 nt
Organism: Cyprinus carpio carpio
Lineage: Eukaryota; Metazoa; Chordata; Actinopteri; Cypriniformes; Cyprinidae
Source: Ensembl
CUCAUUCAACAUAGCCUAAGGUGAUUCUGAUGCUCAUCCACCAAAACACACAAGACAAUUUAGUGUCUUUAAAUGGAUUAAACGAGCAUUCUGGCAUGUGGAUCUACCAAACAGAUUUAGAAUGCAUUAAAGAUUUUGAAGAAUUUCCAUAAUCAAAUCACUCUGUUGCUAAAUACUGCAUGGGUCAAAAGACAAAUUUUACUAAAAAAAAAAAAAUAAAUAAAAAAAAUUCCAAUUCUACUUUGAAGACAACAAAACAAGCUAUUACCUAUCCAGCAAAACACUGUACUAAUCAGUGCUGAGAAGGUGUUUCUGCUAUGCCAGUACUACGAAAAAAAUAAAAAUAAUAAUCUGACGCUGUUCAGGGAACAUGUUGGAGUCAUGAGGAAACAUUUAACAGUCUUUAAUCAAGGAAACACUGGGAAUAAUCCAGAACAGGUGCUUGAGCAACACACGUAAACAAGUAGAAAGUAACAAGUAGAAACACAGCUGCAUGGGAUGACUAAUCAAAUUAAGACAAAACGAGGACAGGAACAAGACCAAAUAUGGGCAUCAGGAAACACGAGGGAGAACUAAAUACACACAAAACACAGAACAGAGUCUGACAUAACUCCCCCCUCCCGGAAGGUGUGUCCUGCACCAUACAAUAUCCAAUGGGUAGGGGGGGUGGGCGCUCUGGAGGCCUCUUGGAGCAGGGUUCAAGGACAGAAGGCCUCCAGGGUGGUGCCUGUUCCAGGAUCCAUGGCAGAGCAGGCAGUCUAGGAGGCCAUGUCGGAGCAGGCAGCUCGGGGAGCCAUAGCGGCACCUGACGCCCUCUUGGGGCAAAAAUCAGGGACUGGAGCCUUCUUUAGGCUUAACUGAGGAUUAAGAGCCCUCCUUGGGCUUAACUGGGGAUCCAGAGCCAUCCCUGGGCUUAACUCAGGCAUAGGAGCCCUCACCAGGCUAGAUUCGGGGGCUGAAGCCGACACUGGAGCGAGCUCUGGGGCCUAUAUAGAUGCGAGGAUGAGGGCUGCUCCUCGUCCCCCUCUUACAGUUGGGGUUAAUUUGGACAUCCAGUGGGCUUGAGUAAGUGGCAGACUGUAUAGACUUCAGAGUGGCCGACGCUCCACAGUUGAGAACUAUGGUGGAGUUUCAGAGGGCAGCGGGAAUUUGGGGUUGGGCAGGUGGUAGGAGCCGUUAGAGAGGUAUGCGGGGGUUCUCGAUGCGGGGUAAGCUGGGGAGACGCAGCGUGUUCCAGCGGGAGCUGGAUGACAAGGCUUGGGAUGUUCCUUUAUUUCUUCAACUUCAAAUUCGGAACCAUUUAAGAAAAGCACAAGAUUAAUCAGCUUGCUCAGGAAAACUCUGGACAUUUUACAGCAGAUUGUCUUGUCAUCCAACCCCAGCAGGAAGCAUGCACCUAGAGCAGCGUCGUGCCAGCUCUCCUGGUGGGUGAGCUCGAGAAAACCCUCCACAUAUCACUUCAACCUCAGGACGCCCUGCUACAAACCCCACAGUGCGUCCUCAGCUGCAGUCAUACUCUUGUUGGGUCGGGUCUUCUGUCACAUCAUGCUGUUCAGGGAACAUGCUGGAGUCACGAGGAAACAUUUAACAGUCUUUAAUCAAGGAAACUCUGCGAAUAAUCCACAACAGGCGCUUGAGCAAUAUACGUAAACAACAAGUG